RNAcentral lists this ribosomal RNA (1396 nucleotides) under uncultured bacterium. Its description in RNAcentral is "16S ribosomal RNA". It matches the Rfam family "Bacterial small subunit ribosomal RNA". The record is from RNAcentral. RNAcentral also lists the same sequence under 1 other name.
AGAGUUUGAUCCUGGCUCAGGAUGAACGCUAGCUAUAGGCUUAACACAUGCAAGUCGAGGGGCAGCAUGGUCUUAGCUUGCUAAGGCCGAUGGCGACCGGCGCACGGGUGAGUAACGCGUAUCCAACCUGCCUUACACUCUUGGACAGCCUUCUGAAGGGGAGAUUAAUACAAGAUGUUAUCAUGAGUAAGCAUUUUCGCAUGAUUAAAGGUUUACCGGUGUAAGAUGGGGAUGCGUUCCAUUAGAUAGUAGGCGGGGUAACGGCCCACCUAGUCUUCGAUGGAUAGGGGUUCUGAGAGGAAGGUCCCCCACAUUGGAACUGAGACACGGUCCAAACUCCUACGGGAGGCAGCAGUGAGGAAUAUUGGUCAAUGGACGAGAGUCUGAACCAGCCAAGUAGCGUGAAGGAUGAAGGUUCUAUGGAUUGUAAACUUCUUUUAUACGGGAAUAAACGGAUCCACGUGUGGAUUUUUGCAUGUACCGUAUGAAUAAGGAUCGGCUAACUCCGUGCCAGCAGCCGCGGUAAUACGGAGGAUCCGAGCGUUAUCCGGAUUUAUUGGGUUUAAAGGGAGCGUAGAUGGAUGUUUAAGUCAGUUGUGAAAGUUUGCGGCUCAACCGUAAAAUUGCAGUUGAUACUGGAUAUCUUGAGUGCAGUUGAGGCAGGCGGAAUUCGUGGUGUAGCGGUGAAAUGCUUAGAUAUCACGAAGAACUCCGAUUGCGAAGGCAGCCUGCUAAGCUGCAACUGACAUUGAGGCUCGAAAGUGUGGGUAUCAAACAGGAUUAGAUACCCUGGUAGUCCACACGGUAAACGAUGAAUACUCGCUGUUUGCGAUAUACAGCAAGCGGCCAAGCGAAAGCGUUAAGUAUUCCACCUGGGGAGUACGCCGGCAACGGUGAAACUCAAAGGAAUUGACGGGGGCCCGCACAAGCGGAGGAACAUGUGGUUUAAUUCGAUGAUACGCGAGGAACCUUACCCGGGCUUAAAUUGCAGAUGAAUUACGGUGAAAGCCGUAAGCCGCAAGGCAUCUGUGAAGGUGCUGCAUGGUUGUCGUCAGCUCGUGCCGUGAGGUGUCGGCUUAAGUGCCAUAACGAGCGCAACCCUUGUUGUCAGUUACUAACAGGUUCCGCUGAGGACUCUGACAAGACUGCCAUCGUAAGAUGUGAGGAAGGUGGGGAUGACGUCAAAUCAGCACGGCCCUUACGUCCGGGGCUACACACGUGUUACAAUGGGGGGUACAGAGGGCCGCUACCACGCGAGUGGAUGCCAAUCCCCAAAACCUCUCUCAGUUCGGACUGGAGUCUGCAACCCGACUCCACGAAGCUGGAUUCGCUAGUAAUCGCGCAUCAGCCACGGCGCGGUGAAUACGUUCCCGGGCCUUGCACUCACCGCCCGUCA